This is a long non-coding RNA of Perognathus longimembris pacificus (Pacific pocket mouse), 714 nucleotides long. RefSeq lists it as uncharacterized. The transcript has 3 exons. Lineage: Eukaryota; Metazoa; Chordata; Mammalia; Rodentia; Heteromyidae. The record is from RefSeq and is a predicted model, not a curated record.
GAGGAAAAAGGGAGACAGUACAGCCCAGUUACCAGCACAAAUACACACACACACACACACACACACACACACACACACACAUAUCUAAGCUGGACACAACCUCUCUCGAUCUUUUCCCUAUCUCUGAAGUCAAGUUACUAAUGGUGAAAUCAUACAAUAAUUGGGAAAUGUAAAUCAUAUGGUGCAUGCUAAAUAAAAUGACAAGAAUGUUAGAACAACAAUCACAAAAUCCAAUUCCUGCUUCUAGCCCGGCAAAACUGACUUGGCUCACAAAUUGUAUAUAAAUAAUUAGGAAGCCGAGGCUAAAAGUCCCUGUGAUUAACCGCACAGUAUCAACCACCAACAUCCUGAAAUAAUUUAUUAACUAAUAAAGAAGCCCUAGGGCUGAGAAUCUAAAGGACCACACCAUGUCCACAAGAGAGUCAUGAGUUUGGUAAGUGAAUAAACGAAUAUCCUCAUAGAAUCAGGAGCACAGAAAGUGAUUUCAUCAGAGAUAACAGAUCCUUGCCCCUAGGACUGUAAUUCCCCCAAGAGGCAUUGCCCAAAAUGCAGCAGGAAAGUCUUCAAUAAAUAGCAUCUGGCUGGGGGUUAGUGGCUCAUGCCUGUAAUCCCAGCUACAUGGGAGGCUGAGAUCGGAGGAUAGAGGUUCAAAGUCUGCCAAGGCCAGCUAAUCCAAGAGACUCUUAUCUCCAAUUAACCAACAAAAAGCCAGAA